GUAGGUGAACCUGCGGAAGGAUCAUUAUCAAAACAGCGGACUUCGGUCUUUGCUGCACCCUUGUCUUUUGCGCACCGAAUUGUUUCCUCGGCGGGCUUGCCUGCCGGUUGGACAUUAUCAAAACCUUUUUGUAGUUGCAAUCAGCGUCAGAAAAAUCAUAAUUAUUACAACUUUCAACAACGGAUCUCUUGGUUCUG
RNAcentral lists this unclassified non-coding RNA (197 nucleotides) under rhizosphere metagenome. RNAcentral's name for it is "partial ribosomal RNA internal transcribed spacer region". The record is from RNAcentral.